UGGGGAAUAUUGGUCAAUGGGCGAAAGCCUGAACCAGCAAUGCCGCGUGAGUGAUGAAGGCCUUCGGGUUGUAAAGCUCUGUCGGGAGGGACGAAAAAGCGGAUUAACAAACCGCAUUGACGGUACCUCCAAAGGAAGCACCGGCUAACUCUGUGCCAGCAGCCGCGGUAAUACAGAGGGUGCAAGCGUUGUUCGGAAUUACUGGGCGUAAAGCGCGUGUAGGUGGCGAGAUAAGUCGGGUGUGAAAUCCCUUGGCUUAACCAAGGAAGUGCAUUCGAUACUGUUUCGCUUGAGUACCGGAGGGGAUGGCGGAAUUCCCGGUGUAGAGGUGAAAUUCGUAGAUAUCGGGAGGAACACCUGUGGCGAAGGCGGCCAUCUGGACGGUCACUGACACUGAGACGCGAAAGCGUGGGUAGCAAA
RNAcentral lists this ribosomal RNA (420 nucleotides) under uncultured bacterium. Its description in RNAcentral is "bacterial SSU rRNA". It matches the Rfam family "Bacterial small subunit ribosomal RNA", at positions 355 to 772 of the family's 1533-position model. The record is from RNAcentral.